Molecule: long non-coding RNA, 1925 nt
Organism: Sycon ciliatum
Lineage: Eukaryota; Metazoa; Porifera; Calcarea; Leucosolenida; Sycettidae
Exons: 3
Source: RefSeq, a predicted model, not a curated record
GCUGAUGCGGGUUGUGUGUUGCUUGGCAGUGAACGAGUCGAAGAGUCAGUCUAGCAUUCAACCUCACUCUUUCAAGGGAAGUGUGGGGCUCUGAUAUGCUUGAUAAUGUGGGAAAGCCUUGUCACUCCAUACCUGGUUAUUCGGGAUGUGUGUUGCUUGGCAGUGUACGAUGAGUCUUUCUUGCGUUCAACGUCACUCCUUCAAGGGAAGUGUGGGGCUCUGAUAUGCUUGAUAAUGCGAGACAGCCGAGUGACUCCAUGCCCGGUGAUUCGGGUUGUGUGUUGCUUGGCAUUGAACGAGUUGAUCAGUCAGUCUUGCAUUCAACCUCACUCCUUCAAGGGAAGUGUGGGGCUCUGAUAGGCUUGAUAAUCUUCGGCAGCCAAAUGGCUUCAUGCUCAGUGACUCGGGAUGUGUGUUGAUAGGCAGUGACCAAGUCGAUGAGUGAGUAAUGCAUUUAACCUCACUCCUUCAAGGGAAGUGUGAGGCCCUGAUAUGCUUGACAAUGAGGGAAGCCUUGUAACUCCAUACCUGGUGAUUCAGGAUGCGUGUUCCUUAGCAGUGAACGAUGAGUCCUUCUUCCGUUCAUCCUAACUCUUUCAAGGGAAGUGUGGGGCUCUGACUUGCUUGAUAAUGCGGGGCAGCCAAGUGACUUCAUCCCCGUGAUCCGGGUUGUGUGUUGCUUGGCUGUGAACGAGUCUAUGAGUCAGUCUAACAUCAAAUAUCUGGCGAUACUUUGUCUAAAUAGGCAAAACACUUAGGGUCCAGCAAUUCGAUUGUGGAGUCUGAUCCUCUGUGUGCCUGUCUCUCCCUCUCUCUCUGUCUCUGUCCCUGUCUCUCUCUCCCUGUCUCUCCCUUUCUGUCUCUCUUUGUCUGUCUGUCUCUCUCUCUGUCCCCUCUCUCUCUCACUCUCUCUCUCUCUCUCUUUUACGGCGUCACCGAGGUCUGCUGCGGCGUGAUCUUGAUCUGCUACAGCGUCAUGGAGGUCGGCUACAGCGUCAUGGAGGUCGGCUACAGCGUCAUGGAGGUCGGCUACAGCGUCAUGGAGGUCGGCUACAGCGUCAUGAAGGUCCGCUGCAGCGUCAUGGAGGUCUGCUACAGCGUCAUGAAGGUCUGCUGCAGCGUCAUCGAGGUCUGCUACAGCUUCAUGGAGGUCUGCUACAGUGUCAACAAAAUCUGCUGCAGAAGCAUCGAAGAUGCCAUCCACACGUGAUGCUGGCUUCCGUUGCUCAUCGGACUGACGUGCAUCAAACUGGACAGUGGACAAGUGCAACACACCAUCGCUAUUCCAACCACCGACUGUGAUGCAGUGGGCAUCGGCAUUCAGCUGGGGAUCGGACACAGAGCAGAGUUGCGGACAUGCAAGCCCAGUGCACACAUACUGCGUGGAGGAGACAAACUUCACUUUGGUUGCCCUUCAUGGAGCGUUGGAAGAACGUGCAUCGGACUGAACUGUUCACGCUAUUGCUGCUGCAAACAUCUACAGUGAUGCAGUGGACAUCAACGAUCAACCUUUAAUUUUGCAUGUGUCUAAAAAAAUAUGUUUUCCAAGUGUGCCGCUUGUUGCCGCUUGUUGCCGCUAUCUUGGUUGUUGUGUGUGGAUCAUGGCCGUCGUUAUGUAAUAGCAGUGGGCUUGUGCGUAUGUGUGUGUGUGUGCUGAGGAGAUGCUCCCCGCAUGAAACUAACGGUUGCCAGCAUGACUGCUUGUACACCACGGCCUUACAAGAAGCGCAACAUGUAUGCUUCCCCUAUCGUCAACCACUCCGCAGUUUACAGCUUGUUAAAUUAUAAUGCCGGGAGAGCUGCGUGAUUGGAUGUGACAUUGUAGCUUGUAAGGUGCAGUGUACCUUGCUUCGGCGGCAUUGUACUGUGCAGGGCCACGGGGGCCUUCCUGCCGCUUGGAAUGUACACCCUAUGCUACUGUCAUA